CGCUGCUUACAUGCAGUCGACGGCAGCGCGGGAGCAAUCCUGGCGGCGAGUGGCGAACGGGUGAGUAAUACAUCGGAACGUGCCCAAUCGUGGGGGAUAACGCAGCGAAAGCUGUGCUAAUACCGCAUACGAUCUACGGAUGAAAGCAGGGGAUCGCAAGACCUUGCGCGAAUGGAGCGGCCGAUGGCAGAUUAGGUAGUUGGUGAGGUAAAGGCUCACCAAGCCUUCGAUCUGUAGCUGGUCUGAGAGGACGACCAGCCACACUGGGACUGAGACACGGCCCAGACUCCUACGGGAGGCAGCAGUGGGGAAUUUUGGACAAUGGGCGAAAGCCUGAUCCAGCCAUGCCGCGUGCAGGAUGAAGGCCUUCGGGUUGUAAACUGCUUUUGUACGGAACGAAACGGCCUUUUCUAAUAAAGAGGGCUAAUGACGGUACCGUAAGAAUAAGCACCGGCUAACUACGUGCCAGCAGCCGCGGUAAUACGUAGGGUGCAAGCGUUAAUCGGAAUUACUGGGCGUAAAGCGUGCGCAGGCGGUAAUGUAAGACAGUUGUGAAAUCCCCGGGCUCAACCUGGGAACUGCAUCUGUGACUGCAUUGCUGGAGUACGGCAGAGGGGGAUGGAAUUCCGCGUGUAACAGUGAAAUGCGUAGAUAUGCGGAGGAACACCGAUGGCGAAGGCAAUCCCCUGGGCCUGUACUGACGCUCAUGCACGAAAGCGAGGGGAGCAAACAGGAUUAGAUACCCUGGUAGUCCACGCCCUAAACGAUGUCAACUGGUUGUUGGGUCUUCACUGACUCAGUAACGAAGCUAACGCGUGAAGUUGACCGCCUGGGGAGUACGGCCGCAAGG
Molecule: ribosomal RNA, 850 nt
Filed under: uncultured bacterium
Lineage: Bacteria
Description: bacterial SSU rRNA
Rfam family: Bacterial small subunit ribosomal RNA
Source: RNAcentral